RNAcentral lists this ribosomal RNA (450 nucleotides) under uncultured bacterium. RNAcentral's name for it is "partial 16S ribosomal RNA". It matches the Rfam family "Bacterial small subunit ribosomal RNA", at positions 338 to 795 of the family's 1533-position model. The record is from RNAcentral.
CCUACGGGGGGCUGCAGUGGGGAAUAUUGGGCAAUGGAGGCAACUCUGACCCAGCCAUGCCGCGUGAAGGAUGACGGCCCUAUGGGUUGUAAACUUCUUUUAUACGGGAAUAAACCCGGGUACGUGUACCCGGCUGAAUGUACCGUAAGAAUAAGGAUCGGCUAACUCCGUGCCAGCAGCCGCGGUAAUACGGAGGAUCCAAGCGUUAUCCGGAUUCAUUGGUGCUAAGGCGUGCUUGGGCGGAUGCGUUGAAAUCCUACAGCUUAACUGUAGAACUGCCGUUGAUACUGCAAGUCUUGAGUACAUUUGAUGUGGGCGGAAUGUGUCAUGUAGCGGUGAAAUGCUUAGAUAUGACACGGAACACCAAUUGCGAAGGCAGCUCACAAAACUGUAACUGACGCUGAGGCACGACAGCGUGGGGAUCAAACAGGAUUAGAUACCCUUGUAGUC